UUAAUUAACAGAUUAAAACGGGUAUGAUUUGCGUGUCUGUGAAAGAGAAGAAGAAUGGCGGUGGCACGCGCGGUGGCAGUGUUAGCAGUAGCAAAACCCUCAACGGUGUUAGCCGGCGGCGUACAAACUAAUCGCCUUCACAAAUUCAAACCUCUAUGCUUUUCAACAACCACAACUUCACCUUCUUCUCGAAAACUCAUCCUUUACUCUAAACCCGGUUGCUGUUUAUGCGAUGGUCUCAAAGAGAAGCUUCAAGAUGCAUUCUCGCUUUCUGGUCCACAUUCCCUUAACGACGUUGAUUUACAGAUAAGAGAUAUAACGAGCAAUCCAGAAUGGGAAAAAGCUUAUCAAUAUGAGAUACCUGUGUUAGCUAAAGUUCUCUCUGAUGGCACCGAGGAAACUUUACCACGAUUGUCUCCUCGUUUAGGAGUGGAGCUCCUCCAGAAGAAGAUAGCUGCUGCCCUCGGAGAGCAAUAAAGGUUUUUCAGCUCAUGACUCGUGAGGCAUAAGAAUUUCCCUUCAGUUUCCAUGUUUGACAUGGUUACAAGUGAUAUCAGAGCAAGACAGGGAGAGAUAUGUUGUGGUUCAGGGACAAAUUAAGCAGAAGUUGCUGGGUAUAAAUGGGCUGGGGGAUGAAGAGAGGGAAAAGUGUACGCUAGUGCAAAAAGAUGAUGCUCAUACGCAGAGUGAUUCUUGCAUGUUUUUAGGCAAAUGGAGACAUGAAGGAUCCAUAUUUAUAUAGAACUGGGAGGGAUCUUGAGAAUGCAGGCAGCAAAGGCAACCACAUCACAAAAUGCUUUCAAUCUUGCAUCAUUGAAUUCAACAUAUUUCACACUUUCACGAGUAUUAAAAUGAUACACCUAAUUUUAUUAAGGUCACCUUGUAGAAAAAAAAAUUAAUUUGUUAGUGAAAGGUGACUUUGGUAAAUUUAAAGACAUUAUUUCAAUAUCAGUGAAAGUAUGAAAUAUUUAUACUUCAAGGAUACUAAUACAAGAAAGGAAACUUGUUAUUGACUCUCCAACAAGAUGGAAUUCAACAUUUGUUAUGUUAUCAACUAUUUUGAAAUUUAAGGUUGCCUCAGCUGCAUACAAAGAAAGAGGGUCGGGCCUUGUUAUGAUUGUACACCGUCACUUGAAGAAUAGAACAAAGUUGAGAAAGUUUGUAAAUUGCUGGAAGUGUUUUAUCUAGCUAUUCAUAUGAUCUCAUGUAGUGUAUCAACUAUUUUUUUAUUUGAUAACUUUAGUGAUUAAUAUAACUACUCAUUUAAACUUAGGUAGUGAGUAUUCGAUGCCUAAUUUGUAUUUACCAAUUAGGCAGAAGUUUGGAGGGUGAAACAAAUACUUAUAAUGCGGUUGAAAACAAAUAUCUCUUCAUGAGAGAAAUGGUGUCCAAUUUGUUUUGGGUCUUGGAUGAAAAUUUCAUAUACUGAA
Molecule: RNA transcript, 1430 nt
Organism: Medicago truncatula (barrel medic)
Lineage: Eukaryota; Viridiplantae; Streptophyta; Magnoliopsida; Fabales; Fabaceae
Exons: 5
Source: RefSeq, a predicted model, not a curated record